GCUCUCCUGGGUGACGAGCGGCGGACGGGUGAGUAAUGUCUGGGAAACUGCCUGAUGGAGGGGGAUAACUACUGGAAACGGUAGCUAAUACCGCAUAACGUCGCAAGACCAAAGAGGGGGACCUUCGGGCCUCUUGCCAUCAGAUGUGCCCAGAUGGGAUUAGCUAGUAGGUGGGGUAAUGGCUCACCUAGGCGACGAUCCCUAGCUGGUCUGAGAGGAUGACCAGCCACACUGGAACUGAGACACGGUCCAGACUCCUACGGGAGGCAGCAGUGGGGAAUAUUGCACAAUGGGCGCAAGCCUGAUGCAGCCAUGCCGCGUGUGUGAAGAAGGCCUUCGGGUUGUAAAGCACUUUCAGCGAGGAGGAAGGUGGUGAGCUUAAUACGCUCAUCAAUUGACGUU
Molecule: ribosomal RNA, 402 nt
Filed under: Serratia sp. (in: enterobacteria)
Lineage: Bacteria; Pseudomonadati; Pseudomonadota; Gammaproteobacteria; Enterobacterales; Yersiniaceae
Description: bacterial SSU rRNA
Rfam family: Bacterial small subunit ribosomal RNA
Source: RNAcentral